Molecule: unclassified non-coding RNA, 390 nt
Filed under: soil metagenome
Description: partial contains 5.8S ribosomal RNA, internal transcribed spacer 2, and large subunit ribosomal RNA
Rfam family: 5.8S ribosomal RNA (bases 1-122)
Source: RNAcentral
GAUGAAGAACGUAGCGAAAUGCGAUACUUGGUGUGAAUUGCAGAAUCCCGUGAACCAUCGAGUCUUUGAACGCAAGUUGCACCCGAAGCCAUUAGGCCGAGGGCACGCCUGCCUGGGCGUCACACGUCGUUGCCCCCCAUCUACUCCUUCGGGAUUGCGGGGGGCGGAUGAUGGCCUCCCGUGCGCCUCGUCGCGCGGUUGGCAUAAAUGCCAAGUCCUCGGCGACGCACGCCACGACAAUCGGUGGUUGCGAAACCUCGGUUGCCCGUCGUGUGCGGUCGUCGCGCAUCGAGGGCUCGAAAAAAUUGCCGGGCUCCGGCUCGGCUUUCAACGCGACCCCAGGUCAGGCGGGGUUACCCGCUGAAUUUAAGCAUAUCAAUAAGCGGAGGA